This is a long non-coding RNA of Lutra lutra (Eurasian river otter), 476 nucleotides long. RefSeq lists it as uncharacterized. The transcript has 2 exons. NCBI's taxonomy places the organism in Eukaryota, Metazoa, Chordata, Mammalia, Carnivora, Mustelidae. The record is from RefSeq and is a predicted model, not a curated record.
CAAGAGUACAGUAGGAUGGGAUGUGAUGUUCUCAACAAAAGUAUCCCGUUUUGGUGGCAAGCACAAUUACUGAAAACACUGACUACAUCUGGUAUGCCCUUCACUGUCUGAAAUGACUGUCAAGCUUCACGCAACCUCAUUCCAAGGAUUCCAGGACCCAGAGUCAGGUGGUGGAACAGAGAAGGAGUGGUCUUACCUGGAGAAAGAUCAACGUUCUCCAUCAGCUCUGAAACACAAUCCUUCUCCUUUCUUUCCUGACCUGGUCUCUGAAUUUUACUUGGUCCCACAUGGGGUGCAUUCCUCCUAAUUUCUUCCAAAUGUAUUAGGUUCUGCAUUUCUCUGGCUUUUCCAAGUCACAUGGGAUUCAUUCAAUUAAUGACUAUGAUGUCAAAUGCAAUCGGCUGUCUGGAGGUUUACGUCUGUAAAGAUUUAUUCUGCUUAAAGUGCAAUAAAUAACACCACCCAGAUAGAAAACA